This 364-nucleotide unclassified non-coding RNA is filed under the name uncultured fungus. RNAcentral's name for it is "sequence contains ITS1". The stretch from base 1 to 103 matches the Rfam family "5.8S ribosomal RNA", at positions 50 to 154 of the family's 154-position model. Lineage: Eukaryota; Fungi. The record is from RNAcentral.
UAACUGCGUGCAGACGUGUGAACUGCAGGACACAUGAACACCGACGUUUCGAACGCAAAUGGCGGUCUAAAGUAAAUUUUAGACCACGUCUGGCUGAGGGUCGGAUUUGAAAUAAAACUAAAGUUACUCAACCUAAUGGCUUACAGGAUUUUUUAAAAAAUCGAGUAGCCUGUUUGAUACGAAAGUUUCAUCGCUGGGUUAAAAUUUAGCUCAGUUAGAAUUCUGGUAGCGCUGAACAAAGAAAGCUAACUUGAUGUUAUAAUAAAAUGUUAAAAGCGAUAAAUGUUUGCGCUAUUCAAAAAAUUUAUAAAAAACAAAUCAAACAUACGACCUCAGAGUAGGCGAGAUUACCCGCUAAAUUUAA